Molecule: ribosomal RNA, 497 nt
Filed under: uncultured bacterium
Lineage: Bacteria
Description: partial 16S ribosomal RNA
Rfam family: Bacterial small subunit ribosomal RNA
Source: RNAcentral
GAUGAACGCUGGCGGCGUGCCUAAUACAUGCAAGUCGAGCGAACAGACGAGGAGCUUGCUCCUCUGACGUUAGCGGCGGACGGGUGAGUAACACGUGGAUAACCUACCUAUAAGACUGGGAUAACUUCGGGAAACCGGAGCUAAUACCGGAUAAUAUAUUGAACCGCAUGGUUCAAUAGUGAAAGACGGUUUUGCUGUCACUUAUAGAUGGAUCCGCGCCGCAUUAGCUAGUUGGUAGGGUAACGGCUUACCAAGGCGACGAUGCGUAGCCGACCUGAGAGGGUGAUCGGCCACACUGGAACUGAGACACGGUCCAGACUCCUACGGGAGGCAGCAGUAGGGAAUCUUCCGCAAUGGGCGAAAGCCUGACGGAGCAACGCCGCGUGAGUGAUGAAGGUCUUCGGAUCGUAAAACUCUGUUAUUAGGGAAGAACAAAUGUGUAAGUAACUAUGCACGUCUUGACGGUACCUAAUCAGAAAGCCACGGCUAACUACGUA